GUCGAGGGGUAACAGAAAAGCUUGCUUUUGCUGACGACCGGCGCACGGGUGCGUAACGCGUAUGCAACCUACCUCAUACUGGAGGAUAGCCCCUGGAAACGGGGAUUAAUACUCCAUAGUAUCACAAUUUCGCAUGUUAUUGUGAUUAAAGUUUUUCGGUAUGAGAUGGGCAUGCGUCCCAUUAGCCUGUUGGUGAGGUAACGGCUCACCAAGGCAACGAUGGGUAGGGGGCCUGAGAGGGUGGUCCCCCACACUGGUACUGAGACACGGACCAGACUCCUACGGGAGGCAGCAGUGAGGAAUAUUGGUCAAUGGAGGAAACUCUGAACCAGCCAUGCCGCGUGAAGGAUGACGGCCCUAUGGGUUGUAAACUUCUUUUAUAGAGGAAGAAACUUGUCUACGUGUAGACAACUGACGGUACUCUACGAAUAAGGAUCGGCUAACUCCGUGCCAGCAGCCGCGGUAAUACGGAGGAUCCAAGCGUUAUCCGGAUUCAUUGGGUUUAAAGGGUCCGUAGGCGGAUUUUUAAGUCAGUGGUGAAAGCCGACAGCUCAACUGUCGAACUGCCAUUGAUACUGGAAAUCUUGAGUACAAAUGAAGUAGGCGGAAUGAGUCAUGUAGCGGUGAAAUGCAUAGAUAUGACUCAGAACACCGAUUGCGAAGGCAGCUUACUAACAUGUAACUGACGCUGAGGGACGAAAGCGUGGGGAGCGAACAGGAUUAGAUACCCUGGUAGUCCACGCCGUAAACGAUCAUCACUCGCUGUUGGCGAUAUACUGUCAGCGGCCAAGCGAAAGUAUUAAGUGAUGCACCUGGGGAGUACGCCGGCAACGGUGAAACUCAAAGGAAUUGACGGGGGCCCGCACAAGCGGUGGAGCAUGUGGUUUAAUUCGAUGAUACGCGAGGAACCUUACCAGGGCUUAAAUGUAGUUUGACCGGCUUGGAAACAGGCCUUCUCUUCGGAGCAGAUUACAAGGUGCUGCAUGGUUGUCGUCAGCUCGUGCCGUGAGGUGUUAGGUUAAGUCCUGCAACGAGCGCAACCCCUAUUCUUAGUUGCCAGCGGUUCGGCCGGGG
Molecule: ribosomal RNA, 1074 nt
Filed under: uncultured bacterium
Lineage: Bacteria
Description: bacterial SSU rRNA
Rfam family: Bacterial small subunit ribosomal RNA
Source: RNAcentral